This 370-nucleotide ribosomal RNA is filed under the name uncultured organism. Its description in RNAcentral is "bacterial SSU rRNA". It matches the Rfam family "Bacterial small subunit ribosomal RNA", at positions 526 to 896 of the family's 1533-position model. The record is from RNAcentral.
CGAAGGGGGCUAGCGUUGUUCGGAAUUACUGGGCGUAAAGCGCGCGCAGGCGGUCUUCCAAGUCAGUGGUGAAAGCCUGGAGCUCAACUCCAGAACUGCCAUUGAAACUGUUAGACUUGAGUACGAGAGAGGUGAGUGGAAUUCCCAGUGUAGAGGUGAAAUUCGUAGAUAUUGGGAAGAACACCAGUGGCGAAGGCGGCUCACUGGCCCGUAACUGACGCUCAGGCGCGACAGCGUGGGGAUCAAACAGGAUUAGAUACCCUGGUAGUCCACGCCGUAAACGAUGAAUGCUAGCCGUUGGAUAGCUUGCUAUUCAGUGGCGCAGCUAACGCAUUAAGCAUUCCGCCUGGGGAGUACGGCCGCAAGGUUG